This 497-nucleotide ribosomal RNA is filed under the name uncultured Verrucomicrobiota bacterium. RNAcentral describes it as "bacterial SSU rRNA". It matches the Rfam family "Bacterial small subunit ribosomal RNA", at positions 355 to 866 of the family's 1533-position model. Lineage: Bacteria; Pseudomonadati; Verrucomicrobiota. The record is from RNAcentral.
UCGAGAAUUUUUCUCAAUGGGCGAAAGCCUGAAGGAGCGACGCCGCGUGGAGGAUGAAGGUCUUCGGAUUGUAAACUCCUGUCAUGAGGGAACAAGAAAGUGAUAGUACCUCAAGAGGAAGAGACGGCUAACUCUGUGCCAGCAGCCGCGGUAAUACAGAGGUCUCAAGCGUUGUUCGGAUUCAUUGGGCGUAAAGGGUGCGUAGGCGGCGCUGUAAGUCUGGUGUGAAAUCCCGGGGCUUAACCCCGGAACUGCACUGGAUACUGCGGUGCUAGAGGACUGGAGAGGAGAUUGGAAUUCACGGUGUAGCAGUGAAAUGCGUAGAUAUCGUGAGGAAGACCAGUGGCGAAGGCGGAUCUCUGGACAGUUCCUGACGCUGAGGCACGAAGGCCAGGGGAGCAAACGGGAUUAGAUACCCCGGUAGUCCUGGCAGUAAACGGUGCACGUUUGGUGUGGGCGGAUUCGACCCGUCUGCGCCGGAGCUAACGCGUUAAACG